UACGGAGGGGGCUAGCGUUGUUCGGAAUUACUGGGCGUAAAGCGCGCGCAGGCGGUUCGUUAAGUUCGUUGUGAAAGCCCCGGGCUCAACCUGGGAACUGCAAUGGAAACUGGCGGGCUUGAGUGUGGCAGAGGGGGGUGGAAUUCCGCGUGUAGCAGUGAAAUGCGUAGAGAUGCGGAGGAACACCGAUGGCGAAGGCAGCCCCCUGGGCCAACACUGACGCUCAGGCACGAAAGCGUGGGGAGCAAACAGG
This 253-nucleotide ribosomal RNA is filed under the name uncultured bacterium. Its description in RNAcentral is "partial 16S ribosomal RNA". It matches the Rfam family "Bacterial small subunit ribosomal RNA", at positions 524 to 776 of the family's 1533-position model. The record is from RNAcentral.